CGGCGGGACGGGGUGGAGUAACGCGUGGGUAACCUGCCUCAUACAGGGGGAUAACAGUUAGAAAUGACUGCUAAUACCGCAUAAGACCACAGCACCGCAUGGUGCGGGGGUAAAAACGUACCGGUGGUAUGAGAUGGACCCGCGUCUGAUUAGCUAGUUGGUAAGGUAACGGCUUACCAAGGCGACGAUCAGUAGCCGACCUGAGAGGGUGACCGGCCACAUUGGGACUGAGACACGGCCCAA
This 243-nucleotide ribosomal RNA is filed under the name uncultured bacterium. RNAcentral describes it as "partial 16S ribosomal RNA". It matches the Rfam family "Bacterial small subunit ribosomal RNA", at positions 104 to 334 of the family's 1533-position model. The record is from RNAcentral.